Molecule: ribosomal RNA, 232 nt
Filed under: uncultured Enterobacterales bacterium
Lineage: Bacteria; Pseudomonadati; Pseudomonadota; Gammaproteobacteria; Enterobacterales
Description: partial 16S ribosomal RNA
Rfam family: Bacterial small subunit ribosomal RNA
Source: RNAcentral
CGGACGGGUGAGUAAUGUCUGGGAAACUGCCUGAUGGAGGGGGAUAACUACUGGAAACGGUAGCUAAUACCGCAUAACGUCGCAAGACCAAAGAGGGGGACCUUCGGGCCUCUUGCCAUCAGAUGUGCCCAGAUGGGAUUAGCUCGUAGGUGGGGUAACGGCUCACCUAGGCGACGAUCCCUAGCUGGUCUGAGAGGAUGACCAGCCACACUGGAACUGAGACACGGUCCAG